RNAcentral lists this ribosomal RNA (277 nucleotides) under uncultured prokaryote. RNAcentral's name for it is "partial 16S ribosomal RNA". It matches the Rfam family "Bacterial small subunit ribosomal RNA", at positions 524 to 801 of the family's 1533-position model. The record is from RNAcentral.
UACGUAGGGGCGAGCGUUGUCCGGAAUUACUAGGAGUAAAGGGCAGGCAGGCGGAUCCAUAAGUUUAUCGUUUAAGGCGUCGGCUUAACCGGCGUAGGGCGGUAGAUACUGUGGAUCUGGAAUGCGGUUGGGGAAGACAGAAUUCCUGGUGUAGCGGUGGAAUGCGCAGAUAUCAGGAGGAACACCGGUGGCGAAGGCGGAUCUCUGGGCCAUUACUGACGCUGAGGAGCGAAAGCGUGGGGAGCGAACAGGAUUAGAUACCCGGGUAGUCCCUGAG